AGAGUUUGAUCCUGGCUCAGGACGAACGCUGGCGGGGUGCCUAACACAUGCAAGUCGAACGGGACCGCAGGGUUCAGUGGCGGACGGGUGCGUAACACGUGAGGAACAUAUCCAUCGAUGGGGAUAGCCGGCCCAACGGCCGGGUAAUACCGCGUACGACCUUCGAGUGGCAUCGCUUGAAGGUGAAAGCAGCAAUGCGUCGAUGGGGUGCCUCGCGGCCUAUCAGCUAGUUGGUGAGGUAAUGGCUCACCAAGGCUACGACGGGUAGCUGGUCCGAGAGGAUGACCAGCCACAUUGGGACUGAGACACGGCCCAGACUCCUACGGGAGGCAGCAGUGGGGAAUAUUGCGCAAUGGGGGAAAGCCUGACGCAGCGACGCCGCGUGUGGGAUGAAGGUCUUCGGAUUGUAAACCACUGUCGCGAGGGACGAAGCUCUGACGGUACCUCGAAAGGAAGCACCGGCUAACUCUGUGCCAGCAGCCGCGGUAAUACAGAGGGUGCAAGCGUUGUCCGGAAUCACUGGGCGUAAAGGGCGCGUAGGCGGCUUGGUAAGUAGGGGGUGAAAUCUCACGGCUCAACUGUGAGGCUGCCUUCUAGACUGCCGAGCUUGAGCACAGUAGAGGCUGGUGGAAUUCCCGGUGUAGCGGUGGAAUGCGUAGAGAUCGGGAAGAACAUCUGUGGCGAAGGCGGCCAGCUGGGCUGUUGCUGACGCUGAUGCGCGACAGCGUGGGAAGCAAACAGGAUUAGAUACCCUGGUAGUCC
This 762-nucleotide ribosomal RNA is filed under the name uncultured bacterium. Its description in RNAcentral is "bacterial SSU rRNA". It matches the Rfam family "Bacterial small subunit ribosomal RNA", at positions 8 to 796 of the family's 1533-position model. The record is from RNAcentral.